UACGUAGGCAGCGAGCGUUGUUCGGAAUUACUGGGCGUAAAGAGUGUGUAGGCGGUGCUCUAAGUUCGGUGUGAAAUCUCCCGGCUCAACCCCGGGAGGCGGGCGGAUACUGUCGAGCUAGAGUCCGGAAGAGGCGAGUGGGAUUCCUGGUGUAGCGGUGAAAUGCGCAGAUAUCAGGAGGAACACCAAUGGCGAAGGCAGCUCGCUGGGACGGUACUGACGCUGAGACGCGAAAGCGUGGGGAGCAAACAGG
Molecule: ribosomal RNA, 253 nt
Filed under: uncultured bacterium
Lineage: Bacteria
Description: partial 16S ribosomal RNA
Rfam family: Bacterial small subunit ribosomal RNA
Source: RNAcentral